This 429-nucleotide ribosomal RNA is filed under the name Gemmatimonadota bacterium. RNAcentral's name for it is "Gemmatimonadetes bacterium partial 16S ribosomal RNA". It matches the Rfam family "Bacterial small subunit ribosomal RNA", at positions 355 to 776 of the family's 1533-position model. Lineage: Bacteria; Pseudomonadati; Gemmatimonadota. The record is from RNAcentral.
UAGGGAAUCUUCGGCAAUGGACGAAAGUCUGACCGAGCAACGCCGCGGGAGUGAAGAAGGUUUUCGGAUCGUAAAACUCUGUUGUUAGAGAAGAACAAGGACGUUAGUAACUGAACGUCCCCUGACGGUAUCUAACCAGAAAGCCACGGCUAACUACGUGCCAGCAGCCGCGGUAAUACGUAGGUGGCAAGCGUUGUCCGGAUUUAUUGGGCGUAAAGCGAGCGCAGGCGGUUUCUUAAGUCUGAUGUGAAAGCCCCCGGCUCAACCGGGGAGGGUCAUUGGAAACUGGGAGACUUGAGUGCAGAAGAGGAGAGUGGAAUUCCAUGUGUAGCGGUGAAAUGCGUAGAUAUAUGGAGGAACACCAGUGGCGAAGGCGGCUCUCUGGUCUGUAACUGACGCUGAGGCUCGGAAGCGUGGGGAGCAAACAGG